GGGCCCAUAGCUCAGUUGGUUAGAGCAGGGGACUCAUAAUCCCUUGGUCGUAGGUUCGAGUCCUACUGGGCCCA
This 74-nucleotide transfer RNA is filed under the name Gammaproteobacteria bacterium. RNAcentral describes it as "tRNA-Ile". It matches the Rfam family "tRNA". From Rfam's summary of the family: Transfer RNA (tRNA) molecules are approximately 80 nucleotides in length. RNAcentral also lists the same sequence under 3 other names. The record is from RNAcentral. Lineage: Bacteria; Pseudomonadati; Pseudomonadota; Gammaproteobacteria.